UUUGGGCCGAAAAUGUAAAAUUCACGGAAAAUGGGCCAAAAAUGUAAACUUUUGCCAAAUAAGGGCUGGAAAUGUCAAUAAUUUAAUUUUGAGCUGAAAUUGUAAUUUAAAUUAUAAUUGGGCCGAGAAUGCCAAGUAAAAUGACUUAAAGGACUAAAAAUGUCAUUUUUCAUCAAAAUGGACUAACAAUGUCAUUUUAUACUAAGAAGGGGCUGAAAAUGUAAUUUCACGUGAAAAGGGGCUAAAAUGGUCGAAUAAAUAUCUUGAGUCAAAUGUGUCAAUUAUUAAACAAUUGGGCCAAGGAUAUAAAUUCUUAUAAGGAUUUAAAAAUGGUAUAUAUUUUUUUUAUAAACUAAUACGAGUAAUAUCGUUAUAGAUCAAACGUUGGGUAUUUUAACAUGUAACAACAGCAAAAUUCAGGUCAAAAUUUAAACUUUUAUAAAACCGUAAUUGAGUAUACUAAGUGGUAAAUAUCAUAACAAGGUUUUCAUACAUAUAAAGAACACAAAAAUCCGAGUUAUAACGAGGAAGUUAUAACCAUUCUAAAAUUCCCGACAAAACCGGCAACACCGAUUAAACGAAAAACGCGAAGUUUCAAUACAAUAGUUUUUAGCCUUAAGUAUCUAAAUGAAAGUUAUAUAUAACAUCAAACCGUGAGCGUACAUAAAAAGAACGUCCAAAUCUGACUUCGUAUGAGGAAGUUAUGAUUUUUCUAAGAUUCGGGUACAGCAGUAGACAACUAAAAACUCGAAAUAGAGCUCGAGAUACUUUUGACCAAAACAACCUAAAUGAGAAUCGAAGGUCUCAACAUUAGUAGCACAACGGCGAAAAGUCUGACGAAAACGGACAUAGGAUGAAGAAGUUAUGGAUUUUUAAUGGACUUUUCGUGUCCUGGCCCGUUAAAAAUAAAUAAUUAAAAAUAAAGUCAAAAUUUGCCGAUGAAGUCUAAACGAGAGUUGUAGAUAACAUUUUCAGAUACGCGUGCAUAUAAAGAACGUCAAAAACGGAGCUCGUAUGCGAAAGUUACGGAUUUUACAAGUUCGGGGUCCAAAAUCCGAGGCUGUCAGGCCCCCACGACGUGGCACAGCUUGGCCGCGACCCGGCAAGUGACUGAGGGCGUCCAAUCAACGGAAGGGGAUAAGGCUUGCUCCCCACGACGUGGCCAACCUUAGCCACGACGUGGCACACCAGAAAUGCCCCUAUAAAUAGAACUCUUGGGGUGCCGGGUUUAGGUGCUCCAUUCUUCCAUCUCUCGUGCUGAAACUCUGCGGUUAAGCUCCCGAAGCCCUCCCGAAGCCCCGGUUUUCACCUUCAAGUCCCGAAGGAAGGUUUUGUGUUCCCGAGAUUCCCGAGAUUCCCGAGAUUUUCCCGCGUUUCCAACUCUUCCNCUAUCAAGUGAGUUCAUAUCCCCUUCGAACACUCUUUAAAUACAUUUUAAAUGUUUUAUACUCUUUUUGGGGAGGAAUACAAGUAAACACACGACUAAAAUCGUGUGAAACAUCGAUCUUUUGCUAUACUUUUCAUAUUGUUGUUUUAACUAUCUUAUGAAGUUAUUAUCAUGCAAAACACCUCACAACAUAAAUUUACCCUCUUGGGGUACAAUAUGUUUUAUAAAUAGAAAUAGGUUUUAUUUAUACGUUUGCAUACUACAUCAUAUCAAGAGUAACCAUUUCAACUAUAACAUGAUGCUUUUACAAGAAAACUCAACUCAUCAUCACGUUUUUGUAACACGGUAGAAAACGAAAUCAUUUCAUACGAACGAUUUUCAUCAUAUUACUCGUGAACUUGUUGUUAGCAAUCAUGUGAUGGCAUAUGGCUUUGUUUGUACCAAACGAAAGUCCCCACCUAUAACCAGAGUCUCUUGGAGGGAGAGCAUGACAAGUGUGUAUAGAUCUAUACGGGGCUGACAACUCCGCACCCUGACUGUUAGCUACAGUCCGACAUUAAGGUGACAAAUGUCAACAUUAGGUACUGCGUCUAGUAUGGUUAUGAGGAACUCACAACACGUGGAAACAAUGACUCAUGCACGUAGUAAAACUUAACACAAUCAUGCUCGAGGGGUAAUAACUAUAUUCUAGGGUAUUAUCGGCAUGAUCAAAACUCAGGUUAAAACACUUCCACAACUAGUUUUACUUAACAAUAAGACCGCACUUCACUUUUACUAAAAUAAGGGAUUUUCCUGGUUCAAAUACAUUCAUUUUGUACAAUAACGAUUUACAACAUCAUUCUUUUGAGCAUGUCAUAGUUUCUUAUAGCUUACGGUCUUGGUCAUUUGAGACUGCAUUUCACUUUUAGGAAAAUAAGGGAUUUUCCUGGUUCAAAUACAUAUAGUACAUACAACAAUCUUUCAAACUCAUUUCAUACAUCAAAUAGAAAAUAAGGGAUUUUCUGGAAAACAUACACGCACUUUCGAAUGGCAUACAUUUUCUCAAAACACCACUUAUGAACUCACCAACUUAAAUGUUGACACUUUUUCUUUGAAAUAACUUGUAUUCUCAGGAAACCGCUAGACCAGGUAGCAACUACUUUUGAAGACUAACGCGCUGGCGUUAGUAACAUAUUUUGGAUCACCAUAUUGUAUUUGAUGUCUUUUGCAAAUAUGUAACACAUACAAUUAUGUAAACUUUUCAAAUAUAUAUAUAUAUGGUGGUGUGUACUUUCCUUUCUAUGAACUGUUAUGAUACUGAAUAUGACGUCCUCCGCCCCCGAACGUUUCCGCCGUUCUGGUUUGGGGGUGUGACAGAUUGGUAUCAGAGCAAUUGUUUAUAGUGAAUUAAGUAUAUCAAAACCAUUUUUGGUAUACAACUAUAAACACAACUGGGCAAAAACACUCUGAGUAAGAGUCAUACUUUUAAAAAUUAAAUUUAUUUAGUUUUUGUAAAGUAGGCAUGCAUUCAUUUCAUAUUAAUAAGAGGGUCGGUAUCAUAAUUAAAACAAUAUAGAAGUAUUAUAAAUAAGUUGUGCAGUGCAGGUAUGCCUUGGGACAUGUAAUCGGAACUGGGAAGAAUAUAGCCUGAUCAACUAUAUUUGUCCAAGAGCCGACUAACGUAUGCCAAGGAGUGUCUGCAAUGGACAACAAAUUUAAAACUUACCAAACUUAUAAACUUUAGAAUCAAACAUAACAUUUAGAAUACUAUAGGAGUAUUUUAUGCAUACGAUAGUUUAACUUUGAUGUCAACCUUAUGUGCCUUAGUUCUAGACAAUCCUUAUCUCCCUAUUCUCGUACAAACACAAUGGCCGGAUUUCCACCUAGCAGGAGACCCCUACUAUCCAUACCAGUUCCAUGUUUUAUAAAAGACCCUUUCACUUUAACCAUCGACUAAGGAAACUCGAUCGAUUUAUCACGACAAACCUGACACUAACCCCAAUUGGUUUCUAGUUUCAAAACCCCGAGGUACUCAUGUGAGGAGUACUAUAUCAUUACAACCUUCACGUAGUAUCCCCCGACAGAUCAUUUAGAAAUACCACACAUACAACGAGUCAAAUCCAAGCUCAAAAACUAGGAGUGAAUUCGAACAUGAACUUCAAAACGUAGCUGCCCUAAUGCAUCGAGUGAAUAUUCUAACAUUUAGAAGAACAGAAGUAAAUAAACCCAAAACCACACGAUCCCGAUCGGUCGAAGUGAUAGGCGGAGUAAUGAAGGUCCGCUGAAACACGCACAUUAGGAUCUAGAUUAAUAAAGGAACAAGAGGAACAAAUCGACCAGAAGCACUCACGCCUGCCCGGAAGAAUUGGAGUCCCGGUCAAAAUAGGAAUUUCGAGACGAAAUUCUCUCUAACGGGGGGAUAAUGUAACAACAGCAAAAUUCAGGUCAAAAUUUAAACUUUUAUAAAACCGUAUGUGAGUAUACUAAGUGGUAAAUAUCGUAACAAGGUUUUCAUAUAUAUAAAGAACACAAAAAUCCGAGUUAUAACGAGGAAGUUAUAACCAUUCUAAAAUUCUCGACAAAACCGGCAACACCGAUUAAACGAAAAAGGCAAAGUUUCAAUACAAUAGUUUUUAGCCUUAAGUAUCUAAAUAAAAGUUAUAGAUAACAUCAAACCGUGAGCGUACAUAAAAAGAACGUCCAAAUCUGACUUCGUAUGAGGAAGUUAUGAUUUUUCCAAGGUUCGGGUAUAGCAGUAGACAGCUAAAAACUCGAAAUAGAGCUCGAGAUACUUUUGACCAAAACAACCUAAAUGAGAAUCGAAGGUCUCAACAUUAGUAGCGCAACGGCGAAAACUCUGACGAAAACGGACAUAGG
RNAcentral lists this long non-coding RNA (4243 nucleotides) under Lactuca sativa (garden lettuce). RNAcentral describes it as "long non-coding RNA (LSAT_LNC000737)". The record is from RNAcentral. Lineage: Eukaryota; Viridiplantae; Streptophyta; Magnoliopsida; Asterales; Asteraceae.